RNAcentral lists this long non-coding RNA (296 nucleotides) under Gossypium barbadense (sea-island cotton). RNAcentral describes it as "long non-coding RNA (GBAR_LNC012861)". Lineage: Eukaryota; Viridiplantae; Streptophyta; Magnoliopsida; Malvales; Malvaceae. The record is from RNAcentral.
GAAGAGAUGUUUUAGAAGCAAAAAGCGUGUGUGAAUUGAUUAAAGCAAGGUGGCAUAGUAUGAGUUUCUUUCAUCAUAUAGCGUCUCAAAAGAAAAGGACGAACAGGGUGAAAAGGUUAGAUAAGGGUGACGAACAUGUAACUAGUGAUGCAGGAAAGGUAAAUAAAAUUGCUAGGGAGUUUUUAUAGAGUUAUAUACCUCUUAGGGCUUGUGUGAUUCUGACCAUAUUUUAAGGGGUGUUAAUGGGUGUAUUUUGGAAGACAUGAAUAGACACCCCACGGCUUGAUACGAAAGAG